This is a long non-coding RNA of Hippocampus zosterae (dwarf seahorse), 585 nucleotides long. RefSeq lists it as uncharacterized. Lineage: Eukaryota; Metazoa; Chordata; Actinopteri; Syngnathiformes; Syngnathidae. The record is from RefSeq and is a predicted model, not a curated record. The transcript is spliced from 3 exons.
UCCCUUCUUGGUCCAUCACAAAUCCUUGGAUCUCGUUCACAUUAGAACUCCAGUAGUUCCCCUAAAAGAACGACACGGGUCGUCAACAUGGAGUCCACACGUAUCCGAGCCACAAUGAAACCUGCGGUGACCUUGACGAAGUGUUCGAUCCACCGGCGGCCACUGAGGAUGUUGUGGACACACGUGGUGACUUUGUUCCAUUCGUAGUGAUCUCCAAACCUGAACACAUCAACAACAAACUGUCUGGACAUGUCUCUCCAGGUGGGAAGGGUGCAGCCAUUUUGCCUUGUACUGCCACUGGCCGUCGACUGAAAAUGACAUCACCGUGCCAAAGGGCUCAGCUUGCGAACAUCAGAUGACCAAACCCCCCAAAACAGGUGAGCCAUGACGGUUGUUACCUAAGCCCUUAGGCAGCAGAGCGGUGUGUGUGUGUGACAUUCCAAAAUCAUGUGCAUUCAGUGGGGGAAAAAAAGCGACGACAGGAAGAAAACCCAUUUUAGUCGACUUUUCCGGUGUACUGGUAUAUGUGCAAAUGUUCGGCCAUGUGUAAUGUGACAUAAGAGUUUCAUUCUUCGUGACCAAACA